This 71-nucleotide transfer RNA is filed under the name Lepidochelys kempii (Atlantic ridley). RNAcentral describes it as "tRNA-Thr". It matches the Rfam family "tRNA". Rfam says of the family: Transfer RNA (tRNA) molecules are approximately 80 nucleotides in length. Their secondary structure includes four short double-helical elements and three loops (D, anti-codon, and T loops). RNAcentral also lists the same sequence under 1 other name. The record is from RNAcentral. Lineage: Eukaryota; Metazoa; Chordata; Testudines; Cheloniidae.
AUUCUAGUAGCUUAACUACAAAGCAUUGGUCUUGUAAACCAAAGAUUGAAAACCACAAAUUUCCUAGAAUA